CUACGGGUUGCUGCAGUAGAGAAUCUUUCGCAAUGGGGGAAACCCCGACGGAGCAACACUGCGUGACCGAUGACGGCCUUCGGGUUGUAAAGGUCUUUUUUGAGGGAAUAAUUCUGAAGGUACCUUAAGAAUAAGCACCGGCUAAUUCCGUGCCAGCAGCCGCGGUAAUACGGAAGGUGCAAGCGUUAUCCGGAAUCAUUGGGCGUAAAGCGUCCGUAGGCGGUGAUUUAAGUUAGAUGUUAAAUCUAGAGGCUCAACUUCUAGAUCGUAUCUAAAACUGGAUCACUAGAGACUUGUAGAGGCUCGUAGAAUUCUGUAUGUAGGGGUAAAAUCCGUAGAUAUACAGAGGAAUACCAAAAGCGAAGGCAGCGAGCUGGGCAAGUUCUGACGCUCAGGGACGAAAGCGUGGGUAGCGAACGGGAUUAGAUACCCGAGUAGUC
RNAcentral lists this ribosomal RNA (440 nucleotides) under uncultured bacterium. RNAcentral describes it as "partial 16S ribosomal RNA". It matches the Rfam family "Bacterial small subunit ribosomal RNA", at positions 339 to 795 of the family's 1533-position model. The record is from RNAcentral.